UAGGGAAUCUUCGGCAAUGGACGAAAGUCUGACCGAGCAACGCCGCGUGAAUGAUGAAGGCCUUCGGGUUGUAAAAUUCUGUUAUCAGGGAAGAAAAGUUAGAGUAGGAAAUGGCUGUAGCGUGACGGUACCUGAUGAGAAAGCCACGGCUAACUACGUGCCAGCAGCCGCGGUAAUACGUAGGUGGCAAGCGUUAUCCGGAAUUAUUGGGCGUAAAGAGCGCGCAGGUGGUUGAUUAAGUCUGAUGUGAAAGCCCACGGCUUAACCGUGGAGGGUCAUUGGAAACUGGUCAACUUGAGUGCAGAAGAGGGAAGUGGAAUUCCAUGUGUAGCGGUGAAAUGCGUAGAGAUAUGGAGGAACACCAGUGGCGAAGGCGGCUUCCUGGUCUGUAACUGACACUGAGGCGCGAAAGCGUGGGGAGCAAACA
Molecule: ribosomal RNA, 427 nt
Filed under: uncultured Turicibacter sp.
Lineage: Bacteria; Bacillati; Bacillota; Erysipelotrichia; Erysipelotrichales; Turicibacteraceae
Description: partial 16S ribosomal RNA
Rfam family: Bacterial small subunit ribosomal RNA
Source: RNAcentral